This 620-nucleotide ribosomal RNA is filed under the name Bacillus atrophaeus. Its description in RNAcentral is "bacterial SSU rRNA". It matches the Rfam family "Bacterial small subunit ribosomal RNA", at positions 121 to 726 of the family's 1533-position model. Lineage: Bacteria; Bacillati; Bacillota; Bacilli; Caryophanales; Bacillaceae. The record is from RNAcentral.
GUAACCUGCCUGUAAGACUGGGAUAACUCCGGGAAACCGGGGCUAAUACCGGAUGCUUGUUUGAACCGCAUGGUUCAAACAUAAAAGGUGGCUUCGGCUACCACUUACAGAUGGACCCGCGGCGCAUUAGCUAGUUGGUGAGGUAAUGGCUCACCAAGGCAACGAUGCGUAGCCGACCUGAGAGGGUGAUCGGCCACACUGGGACUGAGACACGGCCCAGACUCCUACGGGAGGCAGCAGUAGGGAAUCUUCCGCAAUGGACGAAAGUCUGACGGAGCAACGCCGCGUGAGUGAUGAAGGUUUUCGGAUCGUAAAGCUCUGUUGUUAGGGAAGAACAAGUGCCGUUCAAAUAGGGCGGCACCUUGACGGUACCUAACCAGAAAGCCACGGCUAACUACGUGCCAGCAGCCGCGGUAAUACGUAGGUGGCAAGCGUUGUCCGGAAUUAUUGGGCGUAAAGGGCUCGCAGGCGGUUUCUUAAGUCUGAUGUGAAAGCCCCCGGCUCAACCGGGGAGGGUCAUUGGAAACUGGGGAACUUGAGUGCAGAAGAGGAGAGUGGAAUUCCACGUGUAGCGGUGAAAUGCGUAGAGAUGUGGAGGAACACCAGUGGCGAAGGCGACU